UACGGGGGGGGCAAGCGUUGUUCGGAAUUACUGGGCGUAAAGGGCGUGUAGGCGGUCAGGUAAGUGAGACGUGAAAUGCCCCGGCUUACCCGGGGACCUGCGUCUCAUACUGCUUGGCUUGAGUACGGGAGAGGGUGUGGGAAUUCCUGGUGUAGCGGUGAAAUGCGUAGAUAUCAGGAGGAACACCGGUGGCGAAGGCGCACACCUGGCCCGAUACUGACGCUGAGGCGCGAAAGCUAGGGGAGCAAACGGG
This 253-nucleotide ribosomal RNA is filed under the name uncultured bacterium. Its description in RNAcentral is "partial 16S ribosomal RNA". It matches the Rfam family "Bacterial small subunit ribosomal RNA", at positions 524 to 776 of the family's 1533-position model. The record is from RNAcentral.